This 468-nucleotide ribosomal RNA is filed under the name uncultured bacterium. RNAcentral's name for it is "partial 16S ribosomal RNA". It matches the Rfam family "Bacterial small subunit ribosomal RNA", at positions 28 to 507 of the family's 1533-position model. The record is from RNAcentral.
GACGAACGCUGGCGGCGUGCUUAACACAUGCAAGUCGAACGGAAAGGCCCUGCUUUUGUGGGGUGCUCGAGUGGCGAACGGGUGAGUAACACGUGAGCAACCUGCCCUUGACUUUGGGAUAACUUCAGGAAACUGGGGCUAAUAUCUGAUAGGAGCUUCUGCUGCAUGGUGGGGGUUGGAAAGUUUCGGCGGUUGGGGAUGGACUCGCGGCUUAGCAGCUUGGUGGUGGGGUAGUGGCUUACCAAGGCUUUGACGGGUAGCCGGCCUGAGAGGGUGACCGGCCACGUUGGGACUUUGAUCCGGCCAAGACUCCUACGGGAGGCAGCAGUGCGACAUAUUGCAGAAUGGGCAGAGGCCUCAUGAAGAAGCGCCGCCUGCGGGAUGACGGCAUUCAGAUUGUGAACCGCUUUAGCCUGUGACGAAGCGUGAGUGCCGGUAAUGGGUAAAGAAGCACCGUCUAACUACGUG